Molecule: unclassified non-coding RNA, 405 nt
Filed under: soil metagenome
Description: partial contains 5.8S ribosomal RNA, internal transcribed spacer 2, and large subunit ribosomal RNA
Rfam family: 5.8S ribosomal RNA (bases 1-121)
Source: RNAcentral
GAUGAAGAACGUAGCGAAAUGCGAUAAGUAAUGUGAAUUGCAGAAUUCAGUGAAUCAUCGAAUCUUUGAACGCACCUUGCGCCCUUUGGCCAUUCCGAAGGGCAUGCCUGUUUGAGUAUCAUGAACACCUCAACUCUUUAUGGUUUUCCAUGAUGAGCUUGGACUCUGGGGGUUUUGCUGGCUCACAGUCGGCUCCUCUAAAAUGAAUCAGCUUACCAGUGUUUGGUGGGUAUCAUGGGUGUGAUAACUAUCUACGCUUGUGGUUUUUCCACCAGGUAACCUUCAGCAGUGGAGGUUCGCUGGAGCUCAUAGAUGUCUCUCCUCAGUGAGGACAGCCCUUUGAAUGUUUGAUCUCAAAUCAGGUAGGACUACCCGCUGAACUUAAGCAUCUCAAUAAGCGGAGGA